UGAUGUGAGGGCUAUCUGGCUGUGACAUCUGUCACUGUAUUGAUCGCCAGGGUUGAUUCUGCUGUCUGGCUGCCUAGGCAAAUGUCCCCCUUUUCCCUCAAUGUUCCAAGCACGUCUCUCCCAAAGCUGCACACUUGCUGGAAGAAGAUGCCCACCCCAGAUAGAGAAGGACUGGUUCCUCCAGUCAAGGGUAGCUUCACUGCCCUGCCUACAAACAAGCUCUCAAAAGGGGUCCUGCUGUAUGUGCUGUGUUUAUCCAAUGUGUUAUGUCACAGCUACCUUUCCAUGUCGAU
This is an unclassified non-coding RNA of Cavia porcellus (domestic guinea pig), 293 nucleotides long. Its record names the gene 7SK. It matches the Rfam family "7SK RNA". Rfam says of the family: 7SK was discovered as an abundant small nuclear RNA in the mid-70s but a possible function has only recently been suggested. NCBI's taxonomy places the organism in Eukaryota, Metazoa, Chordata, Mammalia, Rodentia, Caviidae. The record is from Ensembl.